Molecule: transfer RNA, 76 nt
Filed under: Fibrobacter sp. UWH3
Lineage: Bacteria; Pseudomonadati; Fibrobacterota; Fibrobacteria; Fibrobacterales; Fibrobacteraceae
Also listed under: 1 other name
Description: tRNA-Cys
Rfam family: tRNA
About the family: Transfer RNA (tRNA) molecules are approximately 80 nucleotides in length. Their secondary structure includes four short double-helical elements and three loops (D, anti-codon, and T loops).
Source: RNAcentral
GGCGACGUACCCAAGUUGGUAAGGGGCGAGUCUGCAAAACUCUUAUUCAUCAGUUCGAGUCUGAUCGUUGCCUCUA